AUGGACCAUAAAACAUGGCUUUGGAGAAAAAAAGCAUCACAAAGGACAGUUCUAGCAAAGAAUAAAUCCAAUAUAUCAGAAAAGGAACAUGAGGACAAGAUUGCCCGGUUGGAGAGAUCACUGCAAGGCUUAAAUGAACAACUUUCAUUUGCUCAUGCUGAAUGCUUCGAGAAGGACGCUAUUUUAGCCAAGCAAGCAAAAGUAGCUGAAGAAGCCAUACUAGGCUGGGAGAAAGCAGAAGCUGAAGCUAUAGCUAUCAGGACAGAACUUGAUGAUACUCUACAUCAGAAAGCCAUGGUUGAGCAAAGGAUUUGUCAGCUUGAUGAGGCUCUAAAUGUUGCAAUGGAAGAGAGGGAGUUAUUGAUAAAGGACACUGCUGAAAUAAUUUCUUGUGAGAAGGAUAAAGUUUGGAAGCUUGAACAGAAUGUCACAGAGAAAGAUAACAUAAUUGCUAGCUUGGACGAUGAGUAUAGCAGACUAUCUGAAAUCCUCUCAACAAAAGAGAAAAUCAUCUUGGAUCUAACUGAAUCAAAUGCAGUGAAAGAGUCAGACUUGAAGGACCUUGCAGUAAAACUGGAGUCAACGGAGAGGUCAAAUUCUUCUCUUAGAUAUGAAGUUUGCAUGCUGCAGAAGCAACUUGAUAUUCGUAGUGAGGAAAGGAAGUGCAAUCUCAAAUCUGCUGAUGCUUCACACAAACAACAUCUUGAAAACGUAAGGAAGAUUACUAAGCUAGAAGAAGAAUGCAAGAGAUUGCGCUCGAUGGUGCGUAAAAGGCUGCCAGGACCAGCUGCCGUUGCUAGAAUGAGAAGUGAAGUUGAGACACUGGGCAGCAGUACAACACACAUAAGGACGGGAAAGUUGAAUUCUACCUCCUUCAAUUCAUAUGAUCAGACACAGAACUCUUCCAAUGCAUCACAUGUAAGUCCUUCAUUGCUUGCAAGGCUACACGUGACGGAAGAUGAAAAUAAGGCCAUGAAGGAAUCUCUUUCUAGAAAGGAUGGUGAACUUCAGCUUUCUCGUACUAUGCUUGCUCGUACAACCUCUAAACUUUCCCAAGUUGAAGCUCAACUUGAAGACUUAUCAGGUGAUCAAGCUACCACGGGACUGGUAAAGAGAAGUCCUACAGUGGUUGAAAAUCCUCUUUCAUCUAUCACCGAGGGUGGUUGCAAUGAAGAUAAUGUAAGCUGCUCAGGUUCAUGGGCGUCAGCCUUGAUUUCUGAACUUGAACAUUUCAAGAAGGGGAAGCUGACUACACCUUCUUGUAAGAGCACAGGAAUGUCAGACUUAAGUUUCAUGGAUGACUUUGAAGAAAUAGAAAGGCUAGCGAUGGUAUGUGACGAUAAGCCUUCAAAAUCGUAUGAUGUAAAGAGAGAGGCAAUCGAAUCAGCAGGUAAAGAGCUGGUUCCAGUGGAUGGUCCCGAUGAAACAACUAAUCAAGUUCACCCGCACAAGACUGAGAAGGGACUCCUGAAGUUAAUUGAACUUGUCGAGGGAGUUAUUCAAAGAUCGUCAAAGGAUUACAGUAGCAAACUCGUGCAAUCUGGUGACAACAUGGGUGAUCAAUCCACGCUGAUAACUGGUUAUUUCGCUCAUGCAUUCUUAUGGAAAACAUCAGAACUUACCUGUGUACUGCGACACUUCAUUGUUGUAUGCAAUGAGCUUCUGUAUGGGAAUACCGAUGUCGAAAGAUUUGUUCUUGAAGUGAGCCUCACACUAGAUUGGAUACUCAACCACUGCUUUUCACUGCAAGAUGUAUCAGAGAUGAGGGAAACUAUCAUAAAGCAUUUGGGUUUAGAUAGCGGUGAUGGGCAUGAAAUUGUUGCAGCCAAACAAAUAGGAGUCGAAGUGAUAAAUGGCAUAGAUGAACCCAGCACUCCAAGCAGCGAGCAGAUGUCACUAGUUUCUGCAUCAGGCCCCGUGGAUAUUGGACUUAAAGCUGAUAAUGACACAGACAGUAUAAGGAAUGGAGUCUCAUUCUCUAAAUCCCAUGCACCGGAAGGAACAUCUUCAAGUUUGCGAGCAGAACUUAAUGCAUUGAAAGAAACAGGAAAUCUGGUAACACACGGUGUUGAUGGUAAAUCAACAGUGAGUGAACUUGACAAACACAAAUCCAUCCCUAACUCUGAGGCAAACAAGGGAAAUCUACAGGGAAGCAGUUACUCUACUGAAGAAGACCCAAAAUGUGUUUCUGGGAAUAAAGACAACAAUGUACACACGCAGCUGGAGAUCUCGACAGCAUCAGAAAAGCUCAUCGAGUGCCAGGAGACAAUCCUAAGCCUGGGAAAGCAACUAAAAGCACUUGCAUCGCCAAAGGAUGCCACCUCGGUUCGUCCGGAGCGAAAACCUCGGUCUAAGUCACUGAAUGAGAUGCUAGCCGUCGACGACGGGGGAUUUGAUGACCUCAGCUCCCCGAAGACCAAGGAGAUUAUAUGCUCAGAACUAAGGCCACCACAUGAAAGAAAUUUUUCUGUCGGCGGGGGAGGUGGCGAUUCAGAAUCAUGUUAUUCCCACCCGACGCCAGUGGUUCCACCUGCCAAACCUUACGGCGUGAGCGGAACCUGCAAGAAAGAAGCUGCUGCGAGGCCAGUAUCGCUCGCAGUUGUCCCAAGCAAGCAGAGGGGAAACCCCAACUUGCUCAAGAGGAUCCUGACAGGAAGGAGAAGGGAUGCCAUAAUCAAACCAAAGGUGGUCCUGAGUGCUUAG
Molecule: ribosomal RNA, 2703 nt
Filed under: Triticum aestivum (bread wheat)
Lineage: Eukaryota; Viridiplantae; Streptophyta; Magnoliopsida; Poales; Poaceae
Description: partial small subunit ribosomal RNA
Source: RNAcentral